This is a non-coding RNA of Punica granatum (pomegranate), 864 nucleotides long. NCBI's taxonomy places the organism in Eukaryota, Viridiplantae, Streptophyta, Magnoliopsida, Myrtales, Lythraceae. The record is from RefSeq and is a predicted model, not a curated record.
UCUAUUGAGCAAAACCCCUAAUAAACCCCCAGCCCACAAUCAGUCUGACAGAGGCUACAGAGCGUCAGCGAUGUCGGCCGCCACAGCCGCCCGGUCCUUACUACGCUCCGCCGCGACCAGAACCACCGCCAGCGUCGGGAGAGCCGCCGGCUCGGCCUCGAAGUCGAAUCCUGCCCGCUCUGCAUUUCGCGUCUCAGCUCAGAAGCCCCUUCCUCAUCGCAUCUUCAGGUCGCCGGUGGAGAUGAGCAGCUGCGUGGAGUCGAUGCUUCCGUACCACACAGCCACCGCCUCCGCGUUGCUCACUUCGAUGCUCUCCGUCUCUCGCCGCACCUACGGGUGGACUCCUGAAGAUUCCAAUGAUGAUGUAUAAUGAAUGUCGGGAAGGGUCAGCAAGGUUCAUGUACAUGAGCUCUAAGACAAGCAGGUGCAUGAUAAUGUCAUGUAGGAACAUAAGUGAUUGGCCUCUACAGUACCUUCGGUUAAGAACAGCUUUGGUUUUUCUCUGCUGUAGAUGGAUGAUCUUUUGUUGUUCGACGGAGAAUGGUCGUAGUAUUGAUCAAGUCAGUGGACAUUACAAGACUUUGCUUACUCAUGUCUUCAGAGAUUUGAUGCCCAUAACAGGAAGUAGGAUCAGAAGAAUAAUUCCCUUGUUAUGUACUUUUUAAAAUUAUGGUUCGGAUUGGUUGGUUGUGGACCAGUCCUCCUUUUCUGUUUUACUACGGUUUUCUUACGUCGUAAUUGUGAUUUUUCUAGAACUAUAUAUCUACUUCGUUGCAAUUUUCGUAAGGUACUUCAUUGCAAUUUUACCUGUCAUUUGGGAUCAGAACAGCUUAUGGUCAAGUGUUUUCAACUGUUUCUGUUAUU